RNAcentral lists this ribosomal RNA (104 nucleotides) under Erycina echinata. RNAcentral's name for it is "partial 18S ribosomal RNA". It matches the Rfam family "Eukaryotic small subunit ribosomal RNA", at positions 1713 to 1831 of the family's 1831-position model. Lineage: Eukaryota; Viridiplantae; Streptophyta; Magnoliopsida; Asparagales; Orchidaceae. The record is from RNAcentral.
GUUCGCCGCUCGCGACUCGGCGAGAAGUCCAUNGAACCUUAUCAUUUAGAGGAAGGAGAAGUCGUAACAAGGUUUCCGUAGGUGAACCUGCGGAAGGAUCAUUG